UGGUGGCAUGGCCACAGUGUGGCCAGUCCAGGGCCUGGCCGCUCGAAUCCGCCUCCGGCACCCAGCCCGCCUGGAGGGGGUCCUGAGACUGCUGCCUGGACACAGCAGCCUGGCCAGGCCUCCAGCAGGGGGUGAGCUCGUGACAUCACCCGCUGAGGCCAUCCAUCUGGCACUUUCUCAAGAAUGCUGGGACCGUCUCCAAGGUGCAGGGUAAAGACAAGGUUUUAGCUCAGGAAAAAGAAACCUGGCUUAAACAGCACAGGCCAGCAUUUCCUGAUGUAACAGGGAGUCCACGGACCGAAGAUGCCUGUGCUCAAAGCAAUGACAACAAUGUCACGUGGCUAUCAAAUGGCAAGAACCUGCUGCUGGUGGUCCAAUAAAAACACACUGGUAUGA
This is a long non-coding RNA of Eptesicus fuscus (big brown bat), 396 nucleotides long. RefSeq lists it as uncharacterized. The transcript is spliced from 3 exons. The record is from RefSeq and is a predicted model, not a curated record. Lineage: Eukaryota; Metazoa; Chordata; Mammalia; Chiroptera; Vespertilionidae.